RNAcentral lists this long non-coding RNA (485 nucleotides) under Cricetulus griseus (Chinese hamster). Its description in RNAcentral is "lncRNA (ENSCGRG00000026559.1)". The record is from RNAcentral. Lineage: Eukaryota; Metazoa; Chordata; Mammalia; Rodentia; Cricetidae.
AUUUUCAGCUGAGUCUCCGCACUGACUUUCUUCACAGGCCAUUUACAUAAGCAUCUCUGCAACAUAAUUACUGGUCCAGUCCUCAGCUGGCUCCAGACCACAAAUUAAAAGGGAACACCCGCACAGGCCACCACAUCAAGCCUGCGAUUCCUCCAGAAGAAACUCAAGAACGUGCUCCCUCUUGCCUGAGGGAGGGGAGGAGGCUUCUGGGAGAAGGUGGCCUGAAUGUGUCUCUCCAUCCUAUGACUCAUCCCUGGAGGAAUCCCCCUCAGCAGGAAAGGGACAGACAGGCCCCCAGCUGAGGAUGGAGGCAGCCUUAUGGAGGGCAAAAGCACAGGGUGCCGAUGAACUGCUGUGUGCCCUUGAGGAUAUCACCAGCCUUCUCUGAGCCUCACUCUCCUGAGGCAGCACUGUGGAUGCAAAUGCAGCUCUGAUGGGUCGUCCACAGAACAAAGUCUGCUUGUUAAUUCCACAGAUCCUGUCAG